AAAUUAUUAUUAAGAUAUAAUUUAUUGAUUCAAAAUGACAAUUAAUGAUAAAAUUGUCAUCAUUUAACUUCAUCAUUCCAGUUAGAUUUAGGUUACAUUUCGAGAUGAGUUUCUUCAAUAAUAUACAACAAUGAAAAUUGUCUUUGAAUAGAAUUCCAACGGAGAAUGGAAUUGAAGAAUACAAAAUAAAGGUGAAGAGAUCCAGGAAGAUGUAGAUUUAUCGAGGAAAUGUACAAGAUGUAGCGCUCUGGAAAAUUUAAAAGAUCUCUCAAGAUGUUUCACUACCUUCACAUUCUUCUAUACGAGAUGGAAUUACAUGUGGAAUUCACGAUGACUUUUCAUAUCACUAUCAAUAAUAAGUUUCUUUGUAUCUAAUGACGAAUAUCGUAAAGAGAGAAUGAGCUACGUUAGUAGAGAUGGUAAAAUAUGGUCAGACAUCCAGCAGCUGAUAAUUUACCGACAUGGACUACUGUCGAUUCUCUUCAAGCACAGAAACUUUGAAAGGAAUACUGGCGCCAACUAGGUAGCCAAGGAAGGAAACCUAAAGAAAAUUAUCGAUUUUUUUCUUACAAAGAAAAUGCUUUCUGGCCAAAGAUAACAAAAGCAUCAGUUCUUAUCAAAUUACGAUAAAAAGAUUCUGCAAUUUGAUUCUAAAAUAAAAUAUAUAUUAUGUUGGAAAAUAUUUUACAUAAAAGAAAACUUAAAAGUUAACUAGGAAGGAAUUUUUAAUAAGAAUGUUAUAAUUAAUUUGAGAACA
Molecule: long non-coding RNA, 757 nt
Organism: Apis dorsata (giant honeybee)
Lineage: Eukaryota; Metazoa; Arthropoda; Insecta; Hymenoptera; Apidae
Exons: 3
Source: RefSeq, a predicted model, not a curated record